This 713-nucleotide ribosomal RNA is filed under the name uncultured bacterium. Its description in RNAcentral is "bacterial SSU rRNA". It matches the Rfam family "Bacterial small subunit ribosomal RNA", at positions 111 to 823 of the family's 1533-position model. The record is from RNAcentral.
UAACACGUAUCCAACCUGCCGAUGACUCGGGGAUAGCCUUUCGAAAGAAAGAUUAAUACCCGAUGGCAUAAUUCUUCCGCAUGGUAGAACUAUUAAAGAAUUUCGGUCAUCGAUGGGGAUGCGUUCCAUUAGGUUGUUGGCGGGGUAACGGCCCACCAAGCCUUCGAUGGAUAGGGGUUCUGAGAGGAAGGUCCCCCACAUUGGAACUGAGACACGGUCCAAACUCCUACGGGAGGCAGCAGUGAGGAAUAUUGGUCAAUGGACGAGAGUCUGAACCAGCCAAGUAGCGUGAAGGAUGACUGCCCUAUGGGUUGUAAACUUCUUUUAUACGGGAAUAAAGUGAGGCACGUGUGCCUUUUUGUAUGUACCGUAUGAAUAAGGAUCGGCUAACUCCGUGCCAGCAGCCGCGGUAAUACGGAGGAUCCGAGCGUUAUCCGGAUUUAUUGGGUUUAAAGGGAGCGUAGGCGGACGCUUAAGUCAGUUGUGAAAGUUUGCGGCUCAACCGUAAAAUUGCGGUUGAUACUGGGUGUCUUGAGUACAGUAGAGGCAGGCGGAAUUCGUGGUGUAGCGGUGAAAUGCUUAGAUAUCACGAAGAACCCCGAUUGCGAAGGCAGCCUGCUGGACUGUAACUGACGCUGAUGCUCGAAAGUGUGGGUAUCAAACAGGAUUAGAUACCCUGGUAGUCCACACAGUAAACGAUGAAUACUCGCUGU